CCCUUAGAUGUUCUGGGCCGCACGCGCGCUACACUGAUGCAUUCAACGAGUCUAAAACCUGCUCUGAUAGGGGUGGGUAAUCUUUUGAAUGUGCAUCGUGAUUGGGAUAGAUGAUUGCAAUUUUUCAUCUUCAACGAGGAAUGCCUAGUAAACGCAAGUCAUCAGCUUGCAUUGAUUACGUCCCUGCUCUUUGUACACACCGCCCGUCGCUCCUACCGAUUGAAUGAUCCGAUGAAUAUCAUGGAUUGAGGAUGCAAGCAGGUUCGCCUGUCUUCAUCUUCGAGAAGUGAAGUAAAUCUUAUCAUUUAGAGGAAGGAGAAGUCGUAACA
This 329-nucleotide ribosomal RNA is filed under the name uncultured eukaryote. RNAcentral's name for it is "partial 18S ribosomal RNA". It matches the Rfam family "Eukaryotic small subunit ribosomal RNA", at positions 1470 to 1796 of the family's 1831-position model. The record is from RNAcentral.